Long non-coding RNA from Nasonia vitripennis (jewel wasp), 348 nucleotides. RefSeq lists it as uncharacterized. The record is from RefSeq and is a predicted model, not a curated record. The transcript is spliced from 2 exons. Lineage: Eukaryota; Metazoa; Arthropoda; Insecta; Hymenoptera; Pteromalidae.
UAAUCUAUAAAGUAGGAAAAAGCCAUCAACAAGCCUCACCACGUCCACAAGAACGGGGAGGACUUCACCGAGCACUCAAGCCUCACCACGUCAACGAGAACGGGGAGGACUCCCAAAUUUGUCCACCUCAUCACAUACAUGAGAACGAGGAGGAAAUAAACACACGAGCAGCGCUGCCACCAACAAAAAGCCACUACAGACGCAUCAACCCGGGCAACGAGUCAUCAUCACGAAGGAAGAACGACGGUGUAAGUGAGGAAGCAGAACUGAAAAAACAAAAGUUUAUCAAAAGCAAUGAAAAUGCAGAUAUGUAAAGUCAGUAAAGAAUUAUAUCAUAAAUUAUAAAAU